This 1530-nucleotide ribosomal RNA is filed under the name Bacillus cereus group sp. N31. RNAcentral's name for it is "partial 23S ribosomal RNA". It matches the Rfam family "Bacterial large subunit ribosomal RNA", at positions 287 to 1819 of the family's 2925-position model. Lineage: Bacteria; Bacillati; Bacillota; Bacilli; Caryophanales; Bacillaceae. The record is from RNAcentral.
GCCUCUUGGGGUUGUAGGACAUUCUAUACGGAGUUACAAAGGAACGAGGUAGACGAAGCGACCUGGAAAGGUCCGUCGUAGAGGGUAACAACCCCGUAGUCGAAACUUCGUUCUCUCUUGAAUGUAUCCUGAGUACGGCGGAACACGUGAAAUUCCGUCGGAAUCUGGGAGGACCAUCUCCCAAGGCUAAAUACUCCCUAGUGAUCGAUAGUGAACCAGUACCGUGAGGGAAAGGUGAAAAGCACCCCGGAAGGGGAGUGAAAGAGAUCCUGAAACCGUGUGCCUACAAAUAGUCAGAGCCCGUUAAUGGGUGAUGGCGUGCCUUUUGUAGAAUGAACCGGCGAGUUACGAUCCCGUGCGAGGUUAAGUUGAAGAGACGGAGCCGCAGCGAAAGCGAGUCUGAAUAGGGCGUUUAGUACGUGGUCGUAGACCCGAAACCAGGUGAUCUACCCAUGUCCAGGGUGAAGUUCAGGUAACACUGAAUGGAGGCCCGAACCCACGCACGUUGAAAAGUGCGGGGAUGAGGUGUGGGUAGCGGAGAAAUUCCAAUCGAACCUGGAGAUAGCUGGUUCUCCCCGAAAUAGCUUUAGGGCUAGCCUUAAGUGUAAGAGUCUUGGAGGUAGAGCACUGAUUGAACUAGGGGUCCUCAUCGGAUUACCGAAUUCAGUCAAACUCCGAAUGCCAAUGACUUAUCCUUAGGAGUCAGACUGCGAGUGAUAAGAUCCGUAGUCAAGAGGGAAACAGCCCAGAUCGCCAGCUAAGGUCCCAAAGUGUGUAUUAAGUGGAAAAGGAUGUGGAGUUGCUUAGACAACUAGGAUGUUGGCUUAGAAGCAGCCACCAUUUAAAGAGUGCGUAAUAGCUCACUAGUCGAGUGACUCUGCGCCGAAAAUGUACCGGGGCUAAAUACACCACCGAAGCUGCGAAUUGAUACCAAUGGUAUCAGUGGUAGGGGAGCGUUCUAAGUGCAGUGAAGUCAGACCGGAAGGACUGGUGGAGCGCUUAGAAGUGAGAAUGCCGGUAUGAGUAGCGAAAGACGGGUGAGAAUCCCGUCCACCGAAUGCCUAAGGUUUCCUGAGGAAGGCUCGUCCGCUCAGGGUUAGUCAGGACCUAAGCCGAGGCCGACAGGCGUAGGCGAUGGACAACAGGUUGAUAUUCCUGUACCACCUCUUUAUCGUUUGAGCAAUGGAGGGACGCAGAAGGAUAGAAGAAGCGUGCGAUUGGUUGUGCACGUCCAAGCAGUUAGGCUGAUAAGUAGGCAAAUCCGCUUAUCGUGAAGGCUGAGCUGUGAUGGGGAAGCUCCUUAUGGAGCGAAGUCUUUGAUUCCCCGCUGCCAAGAAAAGCUUCUAGCGAGAUAAAAGGUGCCUGUACCGCAAACCGACACAGGUAGGCGAGGAGAGAAUCCUAAGGUGUGCGAGAGAACUCUGGUUAAGGAACUCGGCAAAAUGACCCCGUAACUUCGGGAGAAGGGGUGCUUUCUUAACGGAAAGCCGCAGUGAAUAGGCCCAAGCGACUGUUUAGCAAAAACACAGG